UAUUUUGAUUUUUUAUUCCCAUCCAUUCUAAUUUCAAUUUUGAUUCUGGUCGCAAACCAAAUGCACCUUGGGAUUUAAAUACCGAGAGAGAUUUGGGAAUGGGUUUUGGAGGAUUUAGGCAUUUCAACUCUACCUUAGAAUUGGAAUAAAAAUGGAACACCCCCAAACAAAUUGCUGGAAUGAAAGUUACUCAUUCCCAUUUCUAUUCCAGAGCCCAAUUGCCCCUAACCUAACAUGCCC
This 240-nucleotide long non-coding RNA is filed under the name Elaeis guineensis (African oil palm). Its description in RNAcentral is "long non-coding RNA (EGUI_LNC012408)". Lineage: Eukaryota; Viridiplantae; Streptophyta; Magnoliopsida; Arecales; Arecaceae. The record is from RNAcentral.